This 490-nucleotide ribosomal RNA is filed under the name uncultured bacterium. RNAcentral's name for it is "partial 16S ribosomal RNA". It matches the Rfam family "Bacterial small subunit ribosomal RNA", at positions 28 to 507 of the family's 1533-position model. The record is from RNAcentral.
GAUGAACGCUAGCUACAGGCUUAACACAUGCAAGUCGAGGGGCAGCAUGGUCUUAGCUUGCUAAGGCCGAUGGCGACCGGCGCACGGGUGAGUAACACGUAUCCAACCUGCCGUCUACUCUUGGACAGCCUUCUGAAAGGAAGAUUAAUACAAGAUUGCAUCAUGAGUCCGCAUGUUCACAUGAUUCAAGGUAUUCCGGUAGACGAUGGGGAUGCGUUCCAUUAGAUAGUAGGCGGGGUAACGGCCCACCUAGUCGUCGAUGGAUAGGGGUUCUGAGAGGAAGGUCCCCCACAGUGGAACUGAGACACGGUCCAAACUCCUACGGGAGGCAGCAGUGAGGAAUAUUGGUCAAGGGGCGCAGGCCUGAACCAGCCAAGUAGCGUGAAGGAAGACUGCGCUAGGGGUUGUAAACUUCUGUUAGAAAGGAAUAAAGUCGGGUAUGGAUACCCGUUUGCAUGUACUUGAUGAAUAAGGAUCGGCUAACUCCGUG